RNAcentral lists this ribosomal RNA (487 nucleotides) under uncultured eukaryote. RNAcentral's name for it is "bacterial SSU rRNA". It matches the Rfam family "Eukaryotic small subunit ribosomal RNA", at positions 700 to 1161 of the family's 1831-position model. The record is from RNAcentral.
AAAGUAAGUUAUGUGGGUCAAGGUAUGAUGAUUAAUUGGAGUUCUAGUUCAUUUACUUUGAGAAAAUUAGUAGUGUUUAAAGCAGCCUCUUGGGGCACUGAAUACAUUAGCAUGGGAUAAUAAAAUAGGAUCUUCACAAUAUAUUUAUUGGUUUAAAUUGGAUAUGAAGAUAAUGAUUAAUAGGGACAGUUGGGGGUAUUCAUAUUGGGUGGUUAGCGGUGAAAUGCUCGGAUCCAUUCAAGAUGAACUAAAGCGAAGGCAUUUACCAAGGAUGUUUUCAUUAAUCAAGAACGAAAGUUAAGGGAUCGAAGACGAUUAGAUACCGUCGUAGUCUUAACUAUAAACUAUGCCGACCAGGGAUAUGAGUUGUUAGGAAUAUACGAAAGUAUAUUCAAUUUCUUCUUAUGGACCUUGUGAGAAAUCAUAAGUUUUUGGGUUCUGGGGGGGAGUAUGGUCGCAAGGCUGAAACUUAAAGGAAUUGACGGAG